Molecule: ribosomal RNA, 540 nt
Filed under: uncultured Acidobacteriota bacterium
Lineage: Bacteria; Pseudomonadati; Acidobacteriota
Description: bacterial SSU rRNA
Rfam family: Bacterial small subunit ribosomal RNA
Source: RNAcentral
UUGAUCCUGGCUCAGAAUCAACGCUGGCGGCGUGCCUCAGACAUGCAAGUCGAACGCGAAAGUCCCCUUCGGGGGAUAAGUAGAGUGGCGUCCGGGUGAUUAACACGUAGGUAAUCUACCUUCGGGUGGGGAAUAACCCAGGGAAACUUUGGCUAAUACCGCAUAAUGCAGCGGCACCACAUGGUGACAGUUGUUAAAGUGGGGGAUCUUCGGAUCUCGCGCCUGGAGAGGAGCCUGCGGCAGAUUAGCUAGUUGGUAAGGUAACGGCUUACCAAGGCGACGAUCUGUAGCCGGCCUGAUAGGGCGGUCGGCCACACUGACACUGACAUACGGGUCAGACUCCUACGGGUGGCAGCAGUCGGGAAUUUUGGGCAAUGGGCGAAAGCCUGACCCAGCAACUCCGCGUGAAGGAUGAAAUCCCUCGGGAUGUAAACUUCGCAAGAAUGGGAUGAAUUAGUAGGGGUUAAUACCCUCCAUGAUGACGGUACCAUUUGUAAGCUCCGGCUAACUCCGUGCCAGCAGCCGCGGUAAUAAGGGCGU